Molecule: ribosomal RNA, 497 nt
Filed under: uncultured bacterium
Lineage: Bacteria
Description: partial 16S ribosomal RNA
Rfam family: Bacterial small subunit ribosomal RNA
Source: RNAcentral
GAUGAACGCUGGCGGCGUGCCUAAUACAUGCAAGUCGAGCGAACGGACGAGAAGCUUGCUUCUCUGAUGUUAGCGGCGGACGGGUGAGUAACACGUGGAUAACCUACCUAUAAGACUGGGAUAACUUCGGGAAACCGGAGCUACUACCGGCUAAUAUUUUGAACCGCAUGGUUCAAAAGUGAAAGACGGUCUUGCUGUCACUUAUAGAUGGAUCCGCGCUGCAUUAGCUAGUUGGUAAGGUAACGGCUUACCAAGGCAACGAUGCAUAGCCGACCUGAGAGGGUGAUCGGCCACACUGGAACUGAGACACGGUCCAGACUCCUACGGGAGGCAGCAGUAGGGAAUCUUCCGCAAUGGGCGAAAGCCUGACGGAGCAACGCCGCGUGAGUGAUGAAGGUCUUCGGAUCGUAAAGCUCUGUUAUUAGGGAAGAACAGAUGUGUAAGUAACUGUGCACAUCUUGACGGUACCUAAUCAGAAAGCCACGGCUAACUACGUG